UGUCACUGUGGUGUGACCCUGGGUGCCGCUCACUCUCUGAGAUCCCAUUCCACAUGGGGAUAAUUAUGGCACCCACUUGAAAGGCCCUGUGAGCACUAAAGGGUGAGCAGGUGUGGUCCGGAAGCAGCCUGGGACCACUGGUGCCCCGCAGCCCCGCCAGGUUCUGGCGGCAGGACCCACGAGGACAGGGUCCUUGUCCCAGCCCAGGUGCCAGACAUGGCCGCCUCCCCAUGGUCAAGGGAGCUGUGCCGAGCUCCCGUGGCGUGGUUUACAGGGACGCGUCAGGGUCCAGAGUGGGGUCGCUGGAGAGGCCCUGGCCAUAUCAUGAUUCCAUAUGAUUAAAACUGCCACCACUUCAGAGAGACAAGGGACCAGCGUCCUGGUCAAAAUGAGCUGCAGAAGAGUCACCUGCCGGGAGAGGCUUGAAGGCAGGGGAGGAGAGAAGAUGGACGGGGCCAGGAGGACAGAGGUGCUGAAAAGGCAGGAAGGGUCCCCAGGGCAAGCAGGGUGCAGGGUCAGGAUGCCCUCACAGUGAGUCCAGCUCUGUGCUUCUUGGUCCUUGGGGGGAACGAGCCACAGCACUCACCCGGGCCAUCCCGGCCGAGGAAGUGCCCGGCCCUCAGCCAGGCUGCCCCUGGGGGCCAAGCUCCAGCCAAGCCCAAAGCUCCAGGGUGCUCAGCCAUCAGAGGCAAGAGAGAGAAGGUUCCAUCGGGGACAGACCCAGCGGCCGGCACCCACCAGCCAGGAGCUGGCUCUUCCCACCACGAUUGCCAUGGACCCAAGGGCAGGGAGGACGCCUGUCCAACCAGAGCUGCUGUCCAUCUGCCGCCCACGACAGCUGUCCGAGAAGGCAGCUUCAAGGAGCUUCCGGGUCACUGACCCAAAGCCCUCGCCUUCCCCGAGGCCCCUCUGCCCUUUCAUUGGGGGAGGGGUCACAGACCCAGGUGGAUGCUCUGGGACCCCAGCUGCACCUCCGGCCAGCCACCUGUGCCCGCUGUGCCCUGGGGAGUGACUGUGUCACGGCUUCGGGCUCAUCACCCACGACCGUCCAAAACCUGACUCUGCUAUCCGGUCCCAAUCCUCCCCACAAGGGCAUGUGCGUCACAUUUCUCCAACCACGACCCCCAAGUUUUAAACAAGUUGCACUUCUUAAA
Non-coding RNA from Ictidomys tridecemlineatus (thirteen-lined ground squirrel), 1154 nucleotides. The record is from RefSeq and is a predicted model, not a curated record. NCBI's taxonomy places the organism in Eukaryota, Metazoa, Chordata, Mammalia, Rodentia, Sciuridae.